This is a long non-coding RNA of Scomber japonicus (chub mackerel), 347 nucleotides long. RefSeq lists it as uncharacterized. NCBI's taxonomy places the organism in Eukaryota, Metazoa, Chordata, Actinopteri, Scombriformes, Scombridae. The transcript has 3 exons. The record is from RefSeq and is a predicted model, not a curated record.
GUUAAACGCUAAUAUGCGGACUGUUUCAGUUUGUUUAUUUUAUUAAUUUUUAAUGUGUAGGGCAAAGAGCUGUACAGCAGAAAACCACCGGCCACGUUGAUGUGUUUUUCUGUAAUAUUCAACAGGUGCAAUAAGAACGGUUCAGCUCGGAGCAAAGAGAGGCCACAUCAGUCCAAACGUCCACUGAAGAGCUGCUGUCCUCCAGGAUCACCUGCUUCAAAACCCCUGAGAGUGUUACUGGUUUACCUCUCAGACUCCAGAAGAUGAAGAAAGAGGAGGAAGAGGAGGAAGAGGAGGACGGAGCAGAGUCUGUAAUAUCCAGCUGUCUGUCUAUGAAGAGUGACCGG